This 21-nucleotide non-coding RNA is filed under the name Caenorhabditis elegans. Lineage: Eukaryota; Metazoa; Nematoda; Chromadorea; Rhabditida; Rhabditidae. The record is from RNAcentral.
UGUCAUUAACCCAAAAUUAAC